UACGUAGGGGGCGAGCGUUGUCCGGAUUUAUUGGGCGUAAAGAGCUCGUAGGCGGUUACGCAAGUCGGGUGGGAAAUCUCCAGGCUCAACCUGGAGCCUUCGCCCGAUACUGCGUUGACUCGAGUCCGGUAGGGGAGUGUGGAAUUCCCGGUGUAGCGGUGAAAUGCGCAGAUAUCAGGAAGAACACCAAUGGCGAAGGCGGCGUUCUGGACUGCAACUGACACUGAAAAACGAAAGCCAGGGGAGCAAACGGG
This 254-nucleotide ribosomal RNA is filed under the name uncultured bacterium. Its description in RNAcentral is "partial 16S ribosomal RNA". It matches the Rfam family "Bacterial small subunit ribosomal RNA", at positions 524 to 776 of the family's 1533-position model. The record is from RNAcentral.